Schistocerca piceifrons (Central American locust) is the source of this 107-nucleotide small nuclear RNA. NCBI's taxonomy places the organism in Eukaryota, Metazoa, Arthropoda, Insecta, Orthoptera, Acrididae. The record is from RefSeq and is a predicted model, not a curated record.
GUACUCGCUUUGGCGGUAUAUAUAUUAAAAUUGGAACGAUACAGAGAAGAUUAGCAUGGCCUCCGCGCAAGGAUGACAAAAAAAAAUGGUAGGGUGACCGCUCUCGA